Molecule: ribosomal RNA, 305 nt
Filed under: uncultured bacterium
Lineage: Bacteria
Description: bacterial SSU rRNA
Rfam family: Bacterial small subunit ribosomal RNA
Source: RNAcentral
UCCUACGGGGGGCAGCAGUGAGGAAUAUUGGUCAAUGGCCGCAGGGCUGAACCAGCCAAGUCGCGUGAGGGAUGACGGUCCUAUGGAUUGUAAACCUCUUUUGUCAGGGAGCAAAGGGCGCCACGUGUGGCGUUUUGCGAGUACCUGAAGAAAAAGCAUCGGCUAACUCCGUGCCAGCAGCCGCGGUAAUACGGAGGAUGCGAGCGUUAUCCGGAUUUAUUGGGUUUAAAGGGUGCGUAGGCGGGAUGCCAAGUCAGCGGUAAAAAUGCGGUGCUCAACGCCGUCGAGCCGUUGAAAUUGGCGUU